GGUUGUCGUCAGCUCGUGUCGUGAGAUGUUGGGUUAAGUCCCGCAACGAGCGCAACCCCUACGUUUAGUUGCUAACAGGUGAAGCUGAGCACUCUAGACGAACUGCCGUUGACAAAACGGAGGAAGGUGGGAUGACGUCAAAUCAUCAUGCCCCUUAUGUUCUGGGCUACACACGUGCUACAAUGGCCGGUACAGACGGAGGCGAAGCCGCGAGGCGGAGCAAAUCCGAAAAAGCCGGUCUCAGUUCGGAUUGCAGGCUGCAAUUCGCCUGCAUGAAGUCGGAAUCGCUAGUAAUCGCAGGUCAGCAUACUGCGGUGAAUACGUUCCCGGGCCUU
Molecule: ribosomal RNA, 335 nt
Filed under: uncultured Pelotomaculum sp.
Lineage: Bacteria; Bacillati; Bacillota; Clostridia; Eubacteriales; Desulfotomaculaceae
Description: bacterial SSU rRNA
Rfam family: Bacterial small subunit ribosomal RNA
Source: RNAcentral